GACGACGUAGCCUAGUGGAAGAGCGCAGGGCUAUGCCGUGAGGACGCUGGUUCAAAUCCGGUCGUCGCCA
Transfer RNA from Phytophthora infestans T30-4, 70 nucleotides. It matches the Rfam family "tRNA". From Rfam's summary of the family: Transfer RNA (tRNA) molecules are approximately 80 nucleotides in length. Their secondary structure includes four short double-helical elements and three loops (D, anti-codon, and T loops). Further hydrogen bonds mediate the characteristic L-shaped molecular structure. tRNAs have two regions of fundamental functional importance: the anti-codon, which is responsible for specific mRNA codon recognition, and the 3' end, to which the tRNAs corresponding amino acid is attached (by aminoacyl-tRNA synthetases). tRNAs cope with the degeneracy of the genetic code in two manners: having more than one tRNA (with a specific anti-codon) for a particular amino acid; and 'wobble' base-pairing, i.e. permitting non-standard base-pairing at the 3rd anti-codon position. The record is from Rfam. NCBI's taxonomy places the organism in Eukaryota, Oomycota, Peronosporomycetes, Peronosporales, Peronosporaceae.